AAAGAUUUGAUGGAUAUUCUGCUGAAAGUAUAUCAAGAUAAAGAUGCUGAGUUUCAGAUAAGCAGGAACCAUAUGAAGGCCUUCUUUGUGGAUCUCUUCAUUGCAGGAACACAUACUUCAGCAGAUAGCACGCACUGGGUCAUGGCACUGCUCAUCAAUCAUCCAAAUGUAUUCAAUAAACUGAGAGGGGAGAUAGAGUCAGUAGUUGGAAAAAAUAGACUAGUGGAAGAGUCUGAUAUUCCAAAUCUUCAUUAUUUGCAAGCAAUAGUGAAGGAAACUUUGAGACUAUACCCAUUAGGACCUUUCAUACCUAGAGUUAGUUGUGAAGAUUGUAAAAUUGGAGGAUUUGAUAUACCCAAAGAAACUUUAGUUCUGAUCAAUUUAUAUUCAAUAAUGAGGGAUCCAGAGUUAUGGGAUAAUCCUGAUGAGUUCAAACCAGAGAGGUUCUUGGUUUCCCAUAAAGAAACUAAUAGGCAAAAUCACUUAUUGGGUUAUGUUCCCUUUGGUGGGGGAAGGAGGAUGUGCCCUGGUUCACACUUAGCUUUAACCAUAAUUCACAUUACUGUUGCGUCUAUGGUUCAGUGCUUUGAUUGGAAGGUUCCGGGUGAAGAUGGAGAUGGAGAUGGAGGAAAGGUUAACAUGGAAGCUAAAUCAGGCGUGAUUAUGUCCAUGGCUCAUCCAAUUGUGUGUCUUCCUGUGGUUCGCUAUAACCCAUUUGCUGCUUAAAUCAGGCAUGAUAAAUGUAUUGAAU
Molecule: unclassified non-coding RNA, 751 nt
Filed under: Hevea brasiliensis (rubber tree)
Lineage: Eukaryota; Viridiplantae; Streptophyta; Magnoliopsida; Malpighiales; Euphorbiaceae
Source: RNAcentral